Molecule: ribosomal RNA, 355 nt
Filed under: uncultured bacterium
Lineage: Bacteria
Description: partial 16S ribosomal RNA
Rfam family: Bacterial small subunit ribosomal RNA
Source: RNAcentral
CCUACGGGUGGCAGCAGUAGGGAAUAUUGCUCAAUGGGGGAAACCCUGAUGCAGCAACGCCGCGUGGGGGAUGAAGCUUUUCGGCUCGUAAACUCCUAUCGUUAGAGAAGAUAAUGACGGUAUCUAACGAAUAAGCACCGGCUAACUCCGUGCCAGCAGCCGCGGUAAUACGGAGGGUGCAAGCGUUACUCGGAAUCACUGGGCGUAAAGAGCGCGUAGGCGGGAUAGCAAGUCAGAUGUGAAAUCCUAUGGCUUAACCAUAGAACUGCAUUUGAAACUGUUAUUCUAGAGUAUGGGAGAGGUAGGUGGAAUUCUUGGUGUAGGGGUAAAAUCCGUAGAGAUUAAGAGGAAGACU